GGAGUUGGCCAGACUGUCGCGGCAGCAUCCGCUGUCGAGGAAAGUCCGGGCUCCGUAGGGCAGGACGCUGGGUAACGCCCAGGGGGAGCGAUCCCCGUCAAGUGCAACAGAGAGUAGACCGCCUCCGGGCUUCGGCCCGGCGGUAAGGGUGAAAGGGUGGGGUAAGAGCCCACCGGCUGUCGCGGCGACGCGGCAGGCCAGGUGAACUCCGUCCGGAGCAAGACCAAAUAGGGUAGCGUGGUAGGCCGGCCCGGCCGAGCUAUCGGGUAGGUUGCUAGAGGCGUCUGGUAACAGCCGUCCCAGAUGAAUGACAGUCGCCCCGCAAGGGGAACAAGACCCGGCUUACGGCCAACUCCUGUU
RNAcentral lists this RNase P RNA (360 nucleotides) under Pseudodesulfovibrio cashew. RNAcentral's name for it is "Pseudodesulfovibrio sp. SRB007 RNase P RNA component class A". It matches the Rfam family "Bacterial RNase P class A". Rfam says of the family: Ribonuclease P (RNase P) is a ubiquitous endoribonuclease, found in archaea, bacteria and eukarya as well as chloroplasts and mitochondria. Its best characterised activity is the generation of mature 5'-ends of tRNAs by cleaving the 5'-leader elements of precursor-tRNAs. Cellular RNase Ps are ribonucleoproteins. The record is from RNAcentral. Lineage: Bacteria; Pseudomonadati; Thermodesulfobacteriota; Desulfovibrionia; Desulfovibrionales; Desulfovibrionaceae.